This 65-nucleotide transfer RNA is filed under the name Staphylinoidea sp. 3 KM-2017. RNAcentral's name for it is "tRNA-Asp". The record is from RNAcentral. Lineage: Eukaryota; Metazoa; Arthropoda; Insecta; Coleoptera.
GAAAAAUUAGUUAAAUCAUAACAUUAAAAUGUCAAUUUAAAAUAAUUCACUAUGAAUAUUUUUCU